Molecule: non-coding RNA, 886 nt
Organism: Rattus norvegicus (Norway rat)
Lineage: Eukaryota; Metazoa; Chordata; Mammalia; Rodentia; Muridae
Source: RefSeq, a predicted model, not a curated record
GGUGGGGGUUAGGGGGCUUCCUUCGUGAUGUGCCCGCUUUGGCAAACCAAGGCCUUUUAUAAGAUGGUAAAAUGAAACUGAGAGUCAUGGAGGAGGAAAAUUAAGUCGUCUGAUUUUCUGAGGGACAGAACACACCCAGAGCUCGCACCAGAGAUAUCCAGAAGGAAGGGAAGUGUGCAGUGGGCUAGGCAAUGGACACAAAACCCACAGAAGGCAGAGGGGCAUGGCAGAUCUUGCUGUUAGGAGGCUUGGACUAUGGCUACCAAAAUUCCUCUCCUGAGGAAAAUAUAAACAAUGUCUAAGGUCCCUAGAAGACAUCCAGGAAAGAUAGCACCAAAGUUCACCCCAGGGAAUCGACAAGUCUGUUGGUCUUACUUACAGAGCACCGAGAAGGGGUUACGGGCAGGAGUGUGGGUGCUCCCAAAGCUCCCACUGGAAAGUGUUUACCCAACAGGAGUCAUUCCUUUCCAUAGUUGCAUAAUGGAGACCUCUCCUCACCCUCACCACCCGUAUAUUCUAGCCCUGUUCUGCACAGCAGUUUGGGGCAGAACUGCACACAACAUGUGGUAUGAAAUGGCUAGAUACUCAGUGUUAAGGGUAGAACCCAUACAUCGUGUGUUAGUCAAGAACUCUGCCCCAGCCAGUCCUUGGUAUUCUAACCCAUGUGUCCAUCUCCACUGCUGGAAAAUCGUGUAAGCAGCUAGGACAGCAUAUUGAAGAAUUUACACCCUGCCCAGUGGAGAAAUAGGUUCUUGGCAAUUAUAAUCAAUACUACUAUGUCAUAGAGUAAAAACAGGAGAGGGGACUUCAAGCCAUCUGGUCACAGGUAAUAACCAGAAGGCAAAAGUGUCCUAGGUCUUCUAAAGAUAUACAAUUUUUAAAAUUG